This 257-nucleotide non-coding RNA is filed under the name Loxodonta africana (African savanna elephant). Its description in RNAcentral is "Voltage-gated potassium-channel Kv1.4 IRES". It matches the Rfam family "Voltage-gated potassium-channel Kv1.4 IRES". Rfam says of the family: This family represents the Kv1.4 voltage-gated potassium-channel internal ribosome entry site (IRES). Lineage: Eukaryota; Metazoa; Chordata; Mammalia; Proboscidea; Elephantidae. The record is from Rfam by way of RNAcentral.
UAGGCUUGAGAGUGCUAGGCUGUUUAUCUAAACCAGCCUAGCUCUGGAGAGCAAUGUUGAAUCCCUGGGAAGUGAGAGCAUUGGGCGUGCUGAUUUAAAAACAGAAAAUGCAAAGUUGGACUGAAAAUAUCCUUAGUCUUCCAAGCAAUCUGCUUAAGGGUUCCAAACUUACCUUAAUUUGGUGAGAAAAGAAGCUGCCCUAUUUUCCUUUUUUCUUCUACAUCUGGAACCAGCCAUUUCCAGAAACCACCACCAUG